RNAcentral lists this microRNA (24 nucleotides) under Ananas comosus (pineapple). Its description in RNAcentral is "microRNA s0779_c100a". The record is from RNAcentral. Lineage: Eukaryota; Viridiplantae; Streptophyta; Magnoliopsida; Poales; Bromeliaceae.
CGAGUCUUCAAUCAGUUGAAUACC